CAGUUAAGUUGAUUUCUUCGGAUUGAUUCUUAACUGACUGAGCGGCGGACGGGUGAGUAACGCGUGGGUGACCUGCCCCAUACCGGGGGAUAACAGCUGGAAACGGCUGCUAAUACCGCAUAAGCGCACAGAGCUGCAUGGCUCGGUGUGAAAAACUCCGGUGGUAUGGGAUGGGCCCGCGUCUGAUUAGGCAGUUGGCGGGGUAACGGCCCACCAAACCGACGAUCAGUAGCCGGCCUGAGAGGGCGACCGGCCACAUUGGGACUGAGACACGGCCCAAACUCCUACGGGAGGCAGCAGUGGGGAAUAUUGCACAAUGGGGGAAACCCUGAUGCAGCGACGCCGCGUGAGCGAAGAAGUAUUUCGGUAUGUAAAGCUCUAUCAGCAGGGAAGAUAAUGACGGUACCUGACUAAGAAGCCCCGGCUAACUACGUGCCAGCAGCCGCGGUAAUACGUAGGGGGCAAGCGUUAUCCGGAUUUACUGGGUGUAAAGGGAGCGUAGACGGCAAGGCAAGUCUGAUGUGAAAACCCAGGGCUUAACCCUGGGACUGCAUUGGAAACUGUCUGGCUCGAGUGCCGGAGAGGUAAGCGGAAUUCCUAGUGAAGCGGUGAAAUGCGUAGAUAUUAGGAAGAACACCAGUGGCGAAGGCGG
RNAcentral lists this ribosomal RNA (652 nucleotides) under uncultured Lachnospiraceae bacterium. RNAcentral describes it as "bacterial SSU rRNA". It matches the Rfam family "Bacterial small subunit ribosomal RNA", at positions 54 to 724 of the family's 1533-position model. Lineage: Bacteria; Bacillati; Bacillota; Clostridia; Lachnospirales; Lachnospiraceae. The record is from RNAcentral.